RNAcentral lists this ribosomal RNA (491 nucleotides) under uncultured bacterium. RNAcentral's name for it is "partial 16S ribosomal RNA". It matches the Rfam family "Bacterial small subunit ribosomal RNA", at positions 28 to 507 of the family's 1533-position model. The record is from RNAcentral.
GAUGAACGCUGGCUACAGGCUUAACACAUGCAAGUCGAGGGGAAACGCCGGGGAAGCUUGCUUCCCCGGGCGUCGACCGGCGCACGGGUGAGUAACGCGUAUCCAACCUGCCUCUGACUGAGGGAUAACCCGUCGAAAGUCGGCCUAAUACCCCAUGGCAUCGUCUGCGGGCAUCCAACGACGAUUAAAGAUUUCAUCGGUAAGGGAUGGGGGUGCGUCUGAUUAGCUUGUGGGCGGGGUAACGGCCCACCAAGGCUACGAUCAGUAGGGGUUCUGAGAGGAAGGUCCCCUACAUCGGAGCUGCGGUCCGGUCCACACUCCUACGGGAGGCAGCAGUAUGUAAUAUUGGUCAAUGGGCGGGAGCCUGACCCAGCCAAGUAGCGUGCAGGAUGCCGGCCCUAUGGGUUGUAAACUGCUUUUAUGCGGGGAUAAAGUGAGGGACGUGUCCUUCAUUGCAGGUACCGAAUGAAUAAGGACCGGCUAAUUCCGUG